GGAGAAUCUUAGAUUUUCUUAAUGUUUUGUAAGAAAAUCAGCAAUGCAGCAACAGGACGUUGCUACAAGCAAAAGCCGUGACAUGGAUGUUACGUCUUUUGCGGUUGCGGGUAUAGAGUAGGACUUGGCAGAACAUUUAGAAAAUGUUAGAUUCGUA
Molecule: non-coding RNA, 157 nt
Filed under: pig gut metagenome
Source: RNAcentral